UACGUAGGGUGCGAGCGUUAAUCGGAAUUACUGGGCGUAAAGCGUGCGCAGGCGGCUUUGCAAGACAGAUGUGAAAUCCCCGGGCUUAACCUGGGAACUGCAUUUGUGACUGCAUGGCUGGAGUGCGGCAGAGGGGGAUGGAAUUCCGCGUGUAGCAGUGAAAUGCGUAGAUAUGCGGAGGAACACCGAUGGCGAAGGCGGCAUCCUGGACCGGCAUUGACGCUGAGGAGCGAAAGCUAGGGGAGCAAACGGG
RNAcentral lists this ribosomal RNA (253 nucleotides) under uncultured bacterium. RNAcentral's name for it is "partial 16S ribosomal RNA". It matches the Rfam family "Bacterial small subunit ribosomal RNA", at positions 524 to 776 of the family's 1533-position model. The record is from RNAcentral.